Molecule: non-coding RNA, 281 nt
Organism: Bactrocera oleae (olive fruit fly)
Lineage: Eukaryota; Metazoa; Arthropoda; Insecta; Diptera; Tephritidae
Source: RefSeq, a predicted model, not a curated record
CUCCUUCUCUAUUCAUUUACAUUCUCUGAUAAUAUGUAGAUAUUUUGAUACCCUACAUCUAGCAAAAUGUUGCACAGGGUAAAGUAGUUUUCUGCACCUAAUGAUUGUAUGUAACAGCAAAAGCUAAUCGAGAUAGACAUAAAGUUAUACAGAUGAGCCACUCCCAUAAAAUGCGAUAAUAUAAAGUAGUAUAACUAAGCCUUAAUUGUAAUGCAGAUUAUCAAAUAUGCGAGGUGCAUCUGUGGCUUGGGAUAAUAACCACACUCACUUUUCAUACAAAG